GUGGGGAAUAUUGGACAAUGGGCGAAACCCUGAUGCAGCGACGCCGCGUGAGUGAUGAAGGCCUUCGGGUCGUAAAGCUCUGUCGUAUGGGACUAACAAAAUGAAGGUACCAUGCAAGAAAGGAUCGGCUAACUUCGUGCCAGCAGCCGCGGUAAGACGAGGGAUCCUAGCGUUGUUCGGAAUUAUUGGGCGUAAAGCGGGUGUAGGCGGGCCUGUCAGUCAGGUGUGAAAUCCCAGGGCUUAACCCUGGAAGUGCACUUGAUACUGCAGGUCUUGAGUGUGGUAGAGGCUAUUAGAAUUCUUGGUGUAGUGGUGAAAUACGUAGAUAUCAAGAGGAAUACCGGAGGCGAAGGCGGAUAGCUGGGCCAACACUGACGCUGAGACCCGAAAGCGUGGGGAUCAAACAGGAUUAGAAACCCCUGUAGUCC
Molecule: ribosomal RNA, 428 nt
Filed under: uncultured bacterium
Lineage: Bacteria
Description: partial 16S ribosomal RNA
Rfam family: Bacterial small subunit ribosomal RNA
Source: RNAcentral